Molecule: ribosomal RNA, 574 nt
Filed under: Centropyge flavicauda (whitetail angelfish)
Lineage: Eukaryota; Metazoa; Chordata; Actinopteri; Pomacanthidae
Also listed under: 2 other names
Description: partial large subunit ribosomal RNA
Rfam family: Bacterial large subunit ribosomal RNA
Source: RNAcentral
CGCCUCUUGCAAAAUUUACAAAUAAGAGGUCCCGCCUGCCCUGUGACUAUAUGUUUAACGGCCGCGGUAUUUUGACCGUGCAAAGGUAGCGCAAUCACUUGUCUUUUAAAUGGAGACCCGUAUGAAUGGCAUAACGAGGGCUUAACUGUCUCUUCUUUCAAGUCAAUGAAAUUGAUCUCCCCGUGCAGAAGCGGGGAUGCGCACAUAAGACGAGAAGACCCUGUGGAGCUUUAGGCACUAAAGCAGAAUAUGUAAAGUACCCCAAAUUAAAGACUAAAACAGCUUAUGACCUGCCCUAAUGCCUUCGGUUGGGGCGACCGCGGGGAAAUAAAAAACCCCCAUGUAGAACGGGAGCACUGCUCCUACAACUUAGAGCCCCCGCUCUAAUUAACAGAACCUCUGACUAAUAAGAUCCGGCAAUGCCGAUCAACGGACCAAGUUACCCCAGGGAUAACAGCGCAAUCCCCUUUUAGAGCCCAUAUCGACAAGGGGGUUUACGACCUCGAUGUUGGAUCAGGACAUCCUAAUGGUGCAGCCGCUAUUAAGGGUUCGUUUGUUCAACGAUUAAAGUCCU